This 76-nucleotide transfer RNA is filed under the name Betaproteobacteria bacterium RIFCSPLOWO2_02_FULL_63_19. RNAcentral's name for it is "tRNA-Ala". It matches the Rfam family "tRNA". Rfam says of the family: Transfer RNA (tRNA) molecules are approximately 80 nucleotides in length. Their secondary structure includes four short double-helical elements and three loops (D, anti-codon, and T loops). Lineage: Bacteria; Pseudomonadati; Pseudomonadota; Betaproteobacteria. The record is from RNAcentral.
GGGGACGUGGCUCAAUCGCCAGAGCGCCUGCCUUGCAAGCAGGAGGGUGUCGGUUGGACUCCGACCGUCUCCACCA